CAGUGUUUUUAGUGAUAUGCUAUUUACACUAAGUGCAAAUAGCUAGAUUCUAUUUAUAUCUGAUUCUUAUGACGCACUUUGUCUUUAUAGCACAUUCUAGCAUACUCCGUAAUUCCUCAAGGGGGCAGUAACAGUCCACAGUCAUUGAAUAGUCCAACACAUAUUAUUAUAGCUCUAUUACCUAAGAGUGUCUGAAUACAGAGCCCAUUGCAACACAAAAACACUUUUCAUGGAUUUUAUAAAAUCCGUAAAUAUGCAUUUCCCUCUAAAGGCGCGUCCAAUGAGGAGAUGGCGGGUCAUGAUCAUCAUCUUUGCACAUGGACUCAGAAAACACUAAUUUAUUAAUUAUUAUUUCAGUAUCUCCUUACUAUUUCCCCCUGACACAUUCAUGGUAAUUACUUUUGCUGGGGCUUUGCGCCAAGCUUUAGCCUGUUGCGUGCGUUUUUUGCACUGCACAUGAUCAAUUGAUUCACUGUUUGUCGUGGUAAUCAAAUCAAAACUCUUCCAAAAUGCAGCUUUUCCCGAAGCAUUGGUAACUUGGUAAGCCCGCACUGGGGCGAGCUCCGCAGCACACUUCUGAAGGCCCUUUCACACAGGAAGCGGAAAGCGCGCUGCGCUAUGAAACCCAUUCAUUAAAUGGCUUGCGCUCCCCAAGCUGCACCGAACAAAGCCGCGUCCUGUUUGAAAGGACUGUCUGUAUUUCGCAACAGACCGCAGGCGAGAAAAUCGUCGACUAAGGCAGCCUCCUGCCCCAAAAUAACCCCUUCAAAACAGACAGCUCUCCAACCAUUGGUUCACAUAACAUUACACCCCACCAAUAGCUGAACUUUUCACACGCGAACUUCCUUCCCACAAAUCUCUCAAUGACUUUCACGCCUUCUUCUAAAAACCUCACAACAUCGAUCUCUUAUUUCACGAGCUGUAGUGCAUAUGGCACUAUCCGGGGAAAUUUGCAGCAUCCUGUCGCUUAUUUAAAGAUCGUAAGAAAUUACUAAAGUAAUAAUUCUGUGACCGACAUGGAAAUCAAUCACGAGGGUACCAUGUUUGAAUGUCUUUGGAGGCCACUAGUAGGAGUCUGGAGACUCCUGUGCAGCCAUGUGACUGAUGACUCUGAAAUAAAACUUUCACAAGAGGAAACAGAUCCAGUGUCCGCCAUCACCAGUGCCCCCUAUAGCUCUGUCCAUCCAUGGUUUGAGAGUUAUGGAGAAGACGUUGGAGUUUAGUGUGGAGGAGUGAAUACAUGAAUAUUGCCUCGUGUGUUAUUAGUGAUUCUUUGGUUUGAUGCUCAUGGGCUCCCCGCCUCUUUCCCCACCUGUGCAUAUAUUAGGAGCACAUGCCUCCACUUUGUGGAACAGCUCUCCAGGAGUCUGGAGGACAAGACUUUCCCAAAAGGGCCAGACUGUAAAAACUGCAGUGGGCAUUUACCUCCAGUUCAUUUGUUACACUGGAAAUGGAAAAUUGAGUCAAGCACAUGGUACUGUUAUUCUGACAAUAGUCGACUGUAACUUUGAGUAUUCAAACUUGAUGAGAAUUUUUUUUAUUGGAAAUGAGUGUCUAAAACCUUUUACAAUUUUAAAUUACAGAUUGUCACUUUUAGCCCAGCUGUACAGUUAUAGAAAACAAAAACAACAUUGAGCCUCAGCAAUGUGCAUAAAAUCUGGGCAAAGGUGAUGUAUUUUUGUAGUCCACCCCAGAAGUUAAAA
Molecule: long non-coding RNA, 1703 nt
Organism: Cyprinus carpio (common carp)
Lineage: Eukaryota; Metazoa; Chordata; Actinopteri; Cypriniformes; Cyprinidae
Source: RefSeq, a predicted model, not a curated record